This 1097-nucleotide long non-coding RNA is filed under the name Suricata suricatta (meerkat). RNAcentral describes it as "lncRNA (ENSSSUG00005020850.1)". Lineage: Eukaryota; Metazoa; Chordata; Mammalia; Carnivora; Herpestidae. The record is from RNAcentral.
GGAUCCACCACGCCAGUAAAGUCUGUGAGCCCCGGCGAGCCUAAACCCAUAAUAAAGCCCUUUGCUUUUGCAUGCGUGCCUCGGCCUCCCUGGCGGUCUCUGGUUUUUUGGGGGCGAUAUUAAAAUCUGGGCAUAACAGAAGCUGCAGGGAGAGGAAGGCGGGGGCAGCCUGGCAGCCCCCCUACCCCGGGCUGGAGAAGACAGACCCCUGUUGGGUCAGGUAGGUGGCUGGCCUCCCUAAGCCUCUAAGAAGCCCUCGGGAUCUCGGCAGGAACAGAAUUUGCAACCGGCUCUUGGAAGAACAGAACCCAAUCCCUGCCCUAAGACCCUUAGACUCGGGCUGGGUCAGGACCGACCUGGGGCCUCGCUCCCAAUCCGAGGCGGCCGUGGCCCCAUCGGCUCUCGUCCCUCCACCGUACCCAGCCCCUGCUGAGAGACCAGCGACGGCUUCCUAAGAAGGGCGCUCCUCUUCUGGCAGAUAUUCUGGACCCGAGCCUCCAGCAGAAAGGGAAGUCCCGUCACUACGCCAGAGAGUAGCUCCCCUGGAGCAAGGCAGAAGCUUCCAGACUGGACGGCUGCUGCUCUGCUGCCCUACCAAGGGAACCAACGGGGCUGCCUGGCUGCCUGAGUCGCUGCAGAGGAAUGACUGGCCUGGGGCUGGCCUGGGGAGGGGACUCUAUCGAUGCAGCAGGCCGUCCCUAGCAUCCCCACUUGCGGGGAGGUGCUCCUGGAAGACACUGCUAAGUGGAGGGAUUUUAGUCUGGGGGAUAGAGAGAAGAGAGCAGGGAACUGAUUUUUCAGUUCCGAUACGAUAUGUCUGUAAUUCCUCUCUGCAUAAAUUACUUAUUCAUCAUGCAAACGGACUAGUAAGUCGUAUUAGCCCCCAUUUUACAGAAGGGAAAACUGAGGUCUCACAGCUUGGAAGUCAUGCGGCCAGGAUCCCAAGGGGCCUGUCCUAUCCUGAAGCCAUGUACUUUCUCCCACAUCACCCUCCCAGAAGAACCAGAGACUUCCUCUGGUUGAGUGGGGCUCCCCCAAGGAGUAAUAAAUUAUUGGGUGUGGGGCAGAGAGCAAAAGUAGAGUCUGGUCAAUGGUCC